This 119-nucleotide ribosomal RNA is filed under the name Helianthus annuus (common sunflower). Lineage: Eukaryota; Viridiplantae; Streptophyta; Magnoliopsida; Asterales; Asteraceae. The record is from RNAcentral.
GGUUGCGAUCAUACCAGCACUAAUGCACCGGAUCCCAUCUGAACUCCGCAGUUAAGCGUGCUUGGGCGAGAGUAAUACUAGGAUGGGUGACCUCCUGGGAAGUCCUCGUGUUGCAACCC